RNAcentral lists this small RNA (1274 nucleotides) under Pan troglodytes (chimpanzee). RNAcentral describes it as "processed transcript". The record is from RNAcentral. Lineage: Eukaryota; Metazoa; Chordata; Mammalia; Primates; Hominidae.
CCACCGUCUGCUGCCUACAUCCGCCCGCCCGGCGUCCGACCCCUUCAGCGGCGACGGGCGGAGCUGGAGCCCCGGGCCCGGACGCCAGGUGGGCUCCUGGGAGGGUGAUGAAGCAGGCCCUGGUGGACGAUACCGAGGAUGUGUCCCUGGACUUUGGAAACGAGGAGGAGCUGGCCUUUAGGAAAGCCAAGAUCAGAAUGUAACCGGAAGACUCCUGGUGGGCCUUCGAUGGUGGAACCAGAUAGAUGAAGAUGGGAAGAGCCACUGGAUCUUUGAAGCCAGGAAGGUCUCUCCGAAUAGCAUUGCUGCCACAGAAGCUGAAGCACGAAUCUUCUGGCUGGGCCUCAUAAUCUGCCCCAUGAUAUGGAUUGUGUUUUUUUUUAGCACCUUAUUUUCCUUGAAGCUAAAAUGGCUGGCUCUGGUGGUUGCUGGGAUCUCUCUCCAAGCUGCAAACCUGUAUGGCUACAUCCUUUGUAAGAUGGGAGGCAACAGUGACAUUAGCAAGGUCACAGCCACUUUCCUGUCCCAGACAGUGUUCCAGACGGCCUGCCCAGGUGACUUUCAGAAGCCUGGCCUCAAGGGGCUGGAGAUUCACCAGCAUUAGCACACCGGGGCCAGGACCCAUAGCACCAGAGCGCUGGCAUCUGUAACUCUUUGCCACCAUGUCCCCAGAGGAGACUGAAGUGCUGUCCUCAUGCCUUCCUGUCUGUUCCUAGGAAGAUGUUUCCCCUGACAAACGUCCUGCCCACCAAUCCCAUCUCGGCAGAGCUGAACUGUGGCAGAGGUGCAGGCUGGCAGGAAUGGAUGUGCCCUGGGCUGCUGCAAGCUCCUGUCCCCAAUCACAUCCAUUCAUGCAGCCCAACUGCCUCCAGGGGCCUCAGAGGGCAGCUCUCAUCACCACUUCCGGCCACUGCAAAAGCUGCCUGGGAAAGCAGAAAUAGUUUGCAGAGCAGCCUUCCGAUCAUUUCCUCAACCAUGAGAGCAAGAUCUUGUUGGGCUCGCCUGGCAGCCCCACGCGCCCUCACCUUGCACUUAGGACAGAUGAAGCCACUCAUGUUCUCCACCACCCCGAUGAUGGGCAGCUUCACCUUGCGGCAGAAGUUGAUUUCUUUCCGGACAUCCUGGAGUGACACCUCCUACGAAGGUGAAAAGACCAGUGAUUCCAGCAUCAAAGUGCGAGAAAGGGAAUGUCUGUGCAACCGAGGGGAUGGCUGCAAUGCAGUGGAUCUGCGAUCAUAAAGCCUUAGAGGUUUCUGCCCUGAUAGGGUUGGGCU